CUCACCACAUUCAAUGUCAUCGAUUCAAUGGACUUAAUUAAGUAUAAUGGGAAUAGGUCUAUUAGUGUAAAUAAAAGUGAAAUAAUUAGAAGGAUUAGAAUACACAUGCAGUAUAUGUUCCAAUGACAUACAGGGAUAGAAUUUUGAGAAAAAUUUAUUGUAAGUAAUAAUUUCAUACUUAAUGCCAAUAAUUGUUUAUUUCUAUGUUUUGUGUAUGGUCUCCUUAAAGUUUUAUUAUGAGGAGGAUUAAGAGGGUGGGGCUAAUGGGUAAUGGCCCCCCCCUUUUAAAAAAAAAAUUGUUUGAUUAAUUUAUCUCGAGAUCAAAUCACUGAAGCAUGAUUUAAGCGGGUCCUUUUUAAAAAAUUCUGGAUCUGCCACUGCAUACCACAGACAUAUACAGAAAUUAAGGAUGUUUUAUAAUUUUAAAAAAAUUCUAAUAUAUCUAUCAAUUAAAAAAAUAUUUAUAUUGAUAUAUAUGCAUGCAUGCAUUAGUGAUAAAUUUAAUAAUCUGUCACCUAAGGAUAUUUGCCUAUAGAUGUUUUAUGUCUCACUGUUGGGCUUCUAAGUCAGUAUCAAAUUAGAGUUUUGCCCCAAAUUUCAUGGUCCACUGAACAUAAUUAUAAAAAUGAUAGUGCUAGCUAUAGUGGGUCAUCUGUUUACUAUGGAAACAUUAUUGUUAUUGAUUUAAGGUGGUACCUAACACUACAGGGAGAUAACUCUGUAAAGUCAGCUAUUGGACUUAUCAUUUUUUACCUGGGAGGGGGUUAUAUUUCACUUUUUUUGUUUGAUCCCCCCAGUAAAAACAUUUUUAAAAAAAAUGAUCCCCCCCUAAUCAAACAUGCCAAAAUUUUAACAUGCAAAACACUUAUCAUAUUAUUUCAUGAAAAUAUUGAAAAUAAUAUAUUCUCAGUGGAUUGAAUCAAAAACAUAUUUGAGGGAAAAUUGUCUUGAAAUAGGGCACUUUCAUGAGGUCUUUUCAAUGAAUAUAAGCAUGAUAGGUAGCGCAAGCCAGUGCUUUGAGUAAUUUUUUUCUGACUUUUUUUUUUCUAAUUUCCUGUAUUGUGCUAUUAAAGAAAACCUGAUCCUAAGUAACUCUAAAAGAUAACUUUUUAAAAACAGUAACAACACAUUAUUUACUAAAUGGAAUCUAUUAUAUGGCCUUCUCUUGAACUCUGCUUAAACUUAAGUUUGAUGUAAGGCCUUAUUGAGUUGCUAAACUUUUAUAUGGAGAUUAUAAGUUACUCAUUUAUUGUCACAUUUCAUUCAUAUAUGUGUGAUAGUACAUGUAACAUUUUUGAUUUAUUAGCCUAAAAGUACAGAUUUUUGCGGGAGUAAGAGGUAUAAAUAAAUUAAUGGACCCAAAGAGAUCUUGUAAUGAAAUCAAAAAGUUACAUUAGUGGUGUUCAUCAUCUUAAAAUCAUUUUGCAAUUCAUACAACUGUUUGUAUGCAGAUUCUAAGAUGAAUAUUUAAUCAUUUAUUGGAGAAUUAAUUACUCUACACAUUAUUCUUUCAUGAUGCGGCAUACUUUGUGUUUUGGGACAAAAUUUUGCACAAAUCGCUGUAGAUUUCUACUUAAUUUAUACUUAAUUUCUCUCAAACUAUUAAGCUGAUUAAAACAAAAUUUGGCAGUUAUGCUUGUUAAUUUAGUGAUCAAAGUGAGUGAAAUACAUGUAUAACGACUGAAUUAUUUGGAUUAUGAAGCACCUACAUCACCAAAUUCUUGUGGUGUCUUAAUUAACUGUAUAUGAAUGGUGUUAAAAAUAUAUAUUUCUAUUUGACUGUUGCAAUGUUCUUCUUGACAUGUUCAUGAUGUUGUUUCUUGAAGUAUGUGAAAUACUUAUUUCCAUGUGUAAGAAAUAUUGAUCCCCCAACUUUGAAUUUAUAAAAAAAAUUGAACCCCCCUUUUCCACACACAGAAAAAAACUUGAUCCCUCCUGUAUUUUGACCACCCCACCCUCCCAGAUAAAUAAUGAUAAGUCCCUUUAAAAAAGUGUUAUAAUUACGUUGUGUUGUCAAAAGAAUACUAAGCUUCUUAAUGAUCCAAAUAAGUGUUAAAUGUCAAACUGCUAUAUAACCAGUGUAAUUUUUCUGGCAAAACGGUUGGUUCAAAAUUUUUGAAUUUUUUAUAUUUUUGUAAAAUACUUUGACCAAAUUUUAUGAAAAUUAAACGAGCUAAAUAAUUUUUAGUAAAAGUGUUGGGUACCACCUUAAAUGAUCUUAAAUGCAAAGUAUUAAGAAUUAAGUUUCUGAAUUUCACGAGUUGAUAAUUGCCUACAAUUUAAAAUUCAAGAAUUUUGCAUACAAGUAUGCCACUUGAAAGUAUAUUGUAUUUGACCUGGAUGAGAGUUUAGAUGAGGUUUACAAAAUAGAGAAUAACAGGCAAAAUGUACAGAAUAAAGGAAAAAAAAGUAAUAAAUAGGGAAAAGAAGGAAAACUAAAACUAAAUAAAUAUUAGAGAAUAAGUGCUGAAAUGAAAUUUAUGUAAAGAAUAGAGAUUAAAAAAAAAACAAUCUAAUAUACAUGUAUUAAAGAAUAAAGAUACAUGUAAAAAUUGUAUACAUAACAGACAGUCACAAUUUGAACAGAAUGUUGACUUUAACAGUGCUUAUUUGGUUUCAAGGGGAUUCAUCUGAACCCCCCUGGCUACGGGUAUGCAUAACCCCUAUCUAGACCUUAAUAAAUCAAGCCAUAUUAACACAUAAAUGACAAAUACUCUGAUAAUUGUGUUUAGGUCAGACAGGAAUUUGUCUGCAAAAGACUCAUAAGUAACUUGAUUGAUCUCCAAUAAAAAAAAAAUUAAAGGCCAAAUGAUUUACAAAAUUAAAAACUUUGUCUUUGAUAAUCAAGAGAAAAACUGAGACAGACUGAGAAAGACAUGAUUCAUACAUAAAAUACAAACCUUAGAACCUCAAAUUAAAAAAUUAGAAACAGUCAGGGGCAUUACUUAAACAAGUAAUAUUUUUAAGUUAUUACUAUAUAUUUAAGUAAUUUUUGUUUUUGAAAAAUAAUAAAAUUACUUAAUAGAGUUAUUUUAAAUUCUAAUAGAAGCAUAGAUUAAAUGUAGUUUGAAGAAGUUAUUGUAUCAUUUUCUAUCAAAAAAAAAAAGAAUUUAUAAGAUUUUAGAAGGAGUAUGGAGAUAAAGGUUUAAAUUAAAAAUAAUGACAAAUUACUUGAAUACGGUAAGUUGUUAUAUACAUUUUUGAAAAAAAUAUAGUAAUAACACUUAUUUAAGGAACACAUCAUGUAGUUGAUUUGGGUUAUAGCAGUUAAAAAGAACUUGAAAUCUUAAUUAAUUCACAAGUAUGUAUCUAUUUAUAUCAGUCAUUAUGUCAGUCUAUCUUCAAGAUUUUGGAGGAAAAUGAUAAUUUAAUAGUCCCAAGAGACCAACUUUGACCCAGAAGCAUCCAUGGGUAUGAAAGAUAAGUGAUAAGUGCGUCAGUAUGUUAAUUAGUGUUUCAGAAGGAUUAUAUUUCAUGGGGAAAAAUAACCAGAUGACUGUGAAAAUUUGUUAAAGCUAGUAAAAUCUGCAUUAUUGGACAUCUAUAAAAAGAAUAUUUAGAAAAGUUACAUAUAUAAGUAAUAUUUAAAAUAGCCUCGUUUUCAACAUAACUUGUAUAGGUAAUUUGAAUUGUUGCUUGUUUAAGUGAUGCCCCUGACUGAUAAAUGAAACUGGUUAAUGUUAUAAUAGAGCAAAAAAGUUAGAUUGUGUGUACAGUACAUUAUUAGACUUGCUACAUGUUCCUUCCUAAUUAUUUUUUUUUUCACUUUUGCCCCUUUAACAUUUCACUGCUAUAACUAGGAGAUUACCAUUAUACUGACAUCUGCAGGGGCAAUCUGUAGACAGGCAGUUAUCAGCAAACAUAUAAAUUAGUGAAAAAAAAAAAAGAUAGGGAAUUGUAGCAAGUCUAAGUACAUUAUAUAAACACUGUUUUAGAGAUGAAUUUUAUUUCAUUUAUUUUCAAAGAAUUAAUACAGACCCAUUGCAUGGUGGCUUUUGGCUUUUGUCUGCUCUAUGUUCGGGUUGUUGUCGCUUUGACACAUUCCCCAUUUCCUUUCACAAUUUUAUCAUUAUAGAAAGAGGACAAUAAUAUAGUACAUAAAAUUAAGAAUUGAAGUGGGAAAUGUAUCAAAGACACAACAACCGGACCAUAGAACAAACAACAGCAGAAGGUCACCAACAGGUCUUCAAUGCAGCGAGAAAUUCCCACACCCAGAGGUGUCCUUCAGCUGGCUCCUAAACAAUAUAUAUAUACUAGUUUAGUGACAAUUAAUGAACACCAUAUUAAACUCCAAAUUGUACACAAGAAACAUUAAAAAUAAUACAAGACUACAUGCAACAAAGACCAGAGGCUCCUGACUUGGGACUUGGGGACUCUUGUAUGCAUACAUAUAUUUUGUCAAUCAACCAUUAUAGAAUCCUGGCACUUACAUUAACAGAGUGCUUCAAUAUAUAUGUAAUACCCAACUUAUGAUUUUUUUUUUGUUUGUCAAAAGUUUUUUUUUUUCUUUUUAGCUCACCUGACCUAAGAAAGAGGCCAUCUGAGCUUUUGCCAUCCCUUGGCAUUAAUUGUUGAAUCAUCCAUUGUCUAGUGUACACUUUUUCAUAGAUCUUCUCUUAUGAAACUACUGAAUUAAUUCAUUUUAACCAAACUUAGGCUGAAUGGGUAUAUAUUUUGUAAUAAUUAGCUCACAGGGAUCCUUCAAGGGCCCCAUGUGAGCUUAUGCCAUCACUUGGAAUCUGUCUUCGUAAACUAUUUAAAAAAUCUUCUCCUCUGAAACUACUUUAAACUUCAAACUUUAACUAAAUAUUCCUUAGGGUGUCAAGUUUAUAAAUUGUAUCCGAAGUUUUGAUCCAUCAACAAACAUGGCUACCAUGGCUAAAAAUAGAACAUAGGGGUCAAAUGCAGUUUUUGGCUUAUAUCUCAAAAACUGAAGCUUUUAGAGCAAAUCUGACAUUAGGUAAAAUUGUUCAAUUGGUCAAGGUCUAUCAGCCCUGAAAUUUUCAGACGAAUCAAACAUUCCAUUGUUGGGUUGCUGCCACUGAAAUUGGUAGUUAUAACAAAAUUUUGCAGUUUUUUGUUAUUAUCUUGAAUAUUAUUAUAGAUAGAUGUAAACUGUAUAAGCAGCAAUAAUGAUCUACAAAAAAGUUGAUAUGACCAAAAAAGUCAAUUGACUCCUUAAGGAGUUAAUGCCCUUUAAAGUUAAAUGUUAGAAGGAACUUUUUAGUUCAUACUGUACUAAUUAUUUUAUAGCUGUUUAACUAAUUCAUCAAUGUUUCUAUUUCUUUUGAAUCCUAUUGAUAGGUUUUUAUUGAUUUUGUCACCAAUUGUAGAAUCUGUUUUGAUAAGAUUCCGGUAUUUCCUGAAUAAUGUUUGAAAUUUUCUGCUGAAGAAUUCGAAUUAUUAUUCGUACCGAUUGAUAUAUUGUAUCUAUUUUCAACUUUGUUCUUUUUCUAGACAUAAAUUCAUAGAAAUUGAUCCAAUAUCCACCUAUUUAAAUAAGGUGAAAAUCAUAACUCUGUCCUGAUUUCAUAGACAGAAUUUCAUAGAAAUAAAUAUCCAUUAGUGCAAAUCACAAUUUAAAAUAAAUGUGCCUUUAAGCAGUUCAUGUGUAAAAAAAAAUGCUUAGGAUGUUACUGUGGAUUUAUUUUCAUGGGUAUCAAUUAAAGAUUAAAGAAAUUUUUGUAUAUUUCGCCGAUAUUUGUUUUUUUUGGUUUUGUCAAAGUAUUUUUACAACCCGAUGGCAAAUUUUUAAUUCGUUUAACAUUUAACGUUUAAAUUUGUGGUUCAGCUGUUUCCACCAAAACGCCAAAACUGGUAUCCCAUGAACAUGAUGAACAUGAUGAAUAAUAAUGAAUCCACAGUAAAUAUUUUCAGCAUGAAUGAUGAAGUUUUAAUGCCAUUCUGUUCUUAUUUUAGAUUGACAUAUCCAUAGGACAUGCAGUUACCCUAGACCAUGUAGACAAACAGGAAGAGAAAGGUCUCUGAUUCAGUUCUCUGUGAAGUUCAAGGUCUUUCUUAGUCUAAAUAUGGGAAGAUGUGAAAGGUAAGUUUGAAAGUUUGCAAGUGUGCAAAAAUAUGUUAUUUCUAACAAAAUGUGCUGUUUCACAAAUAAAAUACUCUGUGUCUUAGACACUUAUGUAGCAAUUGCAAUAAGGCCACUAUAUUGGUGUAUGAAAUGAUUGUAAGCUGUAUUUGCCUGACCGGUUAAACUCACCCAUGCCUUCAUUUUCAUGCAUGGAUCAUUUAUGGAUCAAGUUUAUCUGAUAAUUGAAAAUAGCGUCAAAUUUUCAGACAAGUAAAGCUGGCUUAAAUAUUAGUUUCUGUCAUUUGGGCUCUUGCUGAGAGUUGUCUCAUUGGCAAUUAUACCACAUCUUCUUUUUUAAUUGACAUUUAAAUGUUGCAUUUUAUAUAUAUAUAUAUACAUAUUACAAUCACACAAUAGCUGGCCAAUUGUUAAUAAGCAUCCAUGUUCACAAAUAACUUCAUUUGUGCAAUUAAGGGACAUGCUAAGGAAGACCUUUUUUUAUGCCCCUGCAGUAGUUUUACCCUUGACCGUCUGUAUGUAUGUACGUCCUUCCAUACCUCCCAAAGUUUGUUACCGUUUUCCUAACUUCAGUUUGCCUCAACCAAAUGUUAUGAAACUGAUACACAAUGCUUAUUACCACAAAACACAGAUCAAGUUUGAAUUUUGGUUGCAUCAUGUACUUUAACCGUUCAAGAGUUAUGCCUCUUUACAAAAAAAAUUGCUGAAUUUUUCUAUUUGUUUUCUAACUUUAGUUUGCCUCUGAACCAAAUGCUAUGAAACUAAUACACAGCAAUGCUUAUUUCCACAAAAUACAGAUCAAGUAUGAAUUAAGGGACAGGGUCACUUACCUGUUGUUCAGUUAUGCCCCUUAACAAAUGAAAAAUUAUGCUUAUAUUUGUAGUUUCCAUUCUCUAACAUUGGUUUGCCUCAACUAAAUGCAAUGAAACUUAUACACAAUGCUUGUUACCACAAAAUACAGAUCAAGUUUGAAUUUUAUGGGGGUCACUUUAACUUUUCUAGAAUUAUGCCUCUUCACAAAUUGAAUGAUUGCUGAAAUUUUCAUUUCCAUUCAUUAACUUUAGCUUGCCUCAACCAAAUGCUAUGAUAUUUUAAACAAUACUUAUUACCACAAAAUACAAAUCAAGUUUGAAUUUUGAGGUUGUCACUAAAUUUUCUAGAGUUAUGCCCCUUUGAAAAUGGAAAAAAUUGCUGAAUUUUUGUUUCCAAUCUCUAAAUUAAGUUUGCAUAAACCAAGUUUUAUGGAACUUAUACACAAUACCUAUUACCACUAAAUCAGAUCAAGUGUUUUUGGUAGAGUCACUUUUACUGUUCUUCAGUUAUGUCCUUUUAUAACUUUAUAUGAUAUAUGCAAGCGGGGGCAUCAACUGUGAUCCAUUGAUACAUUCCCCAUUUAAUUUUUUGUUUAACAUCGAUUUUUUUUGGGGUGUCCAAGCCGAUAAAUUAGAGUUGAAAGGGCAAUCAAAACGCAUCUUUUUUGUUGUUAGCCCUAUUGAAAACUAUUGUACAGCAUUUUGUACAGAGAGGGAAACUUUGUAUAGUAAAAAUGAUCAACACCAUAAGAUCUACUAAUAAGUCACAUCAUUUUCUUUGUAGGAUACAUAGAAAUCUUGAAGGAC
RNAcentral lists this long non-coding RNA (7665 nucleotides) under Mytilus galloprovincialis (Mediterranean mussel). Lineage: Eukaryota; Metazoa; Mollusca; Bivalvia; Mytilida; Mytilidae. The record is from RNAcentral.